This is a long non-coding RNA of Anas platyrhynchos (mallard), 3053 nucleotides long. RefSeq lists it as uncharacterized. Lineage: Eukaryota; Metazoa; Chordata; Aves; Anseriformes; Anatidae. The record is from RefSeq and is a predicted model, not a curated record.
UCAUCUGUGUUAAGCAGCACUGUGUUACCUGAGGCUAUAUGGUACGUUCUAUAUGAUCAAAGCAGAAAUGCAGCAGCUUCUGACGAAGAGUUAUCGUGGCUGAGGGGAAAAAAUAUCAAGGAAGGAGAAAAAAGAUACAGCGCUACAAAAUACCAGGUCGUGCCACCAAAGUAAACACCCACAGAAAAUGCUGAUCUCUCAAAACUGGAAAUCUUUGUGGGAAAAACAUCAGUUUCAACAAAAUGCUUGCUGGGAAGAAUCUUCCACUCCAACUUGAGACGGAUGGUCAAAACCUGAUUGGGAAAGGAUCCUCGCACAGCCAGCAGCCCAGCGGUUAGCACAUUCCCCGAUGAUGUGGAUUUAUACCAUCUGAUACAGGAAAGAUUGAGAUGGCUCCAAAUAAAGCAGAGCAAGGAUUUAACAUAGUCUUCCCACAGGCCUUGCAAAUGCCCUAACAUCUGGGUUAUGGAACACUGUCUCUCCUCUGCCCCAAGGAAUGGGAUUUUAUGAGUCAAAGCCAAUCCACCAGGAGCAAUUUUGCAUAACAGAUCGAUCCUAGCCAAGGAGAUGUUGUAGAUCAUAGACUUGAAUCCUGGUUUCCCACAUCUUACAGGAACGGCCUCAGAACUCAGAGCUGAACCUCUCUCUGUUCACUUGCUCUCUCUGUACCAAGAGGUCCUAUUUUUAUUUUGAUGAGAAAAAAAUUCUAAAACCUCCACAUUUUUCCUGAAACAGAUGUUUCACUUUCUAGCCAGCUUUACUCAGCAUUUUGUAGAAGAGAGUCCUUGGUCUGAUACCAGAUGUUUAACAUCUGCCUGACUUUGGGUUUUCCACUGCAGCCAUUUCUUUAAAAAGUGGCCAACACACAGAGAGUGAGAAGUACUUUCUAUCAACCACAAUAGACUGUAAAUCAGAUGCCAAAGUUUUUGACAACUCCCCCAAAAUGUUCUCGUGUUUUUUCAACAACAAAAAGAUAGCUUCUUUACAAUAAAGCAUCAUUUAAAGAGUCAUUGCAGGAGCCCACAUUGGAAGCGAAGGGGUCUGAUGCUUUGCCUUCUGUGCAGUGCUGGUCUUUAACGCCUGCUUUGUCUGUUCCUGGUCUCAGAGAUAACUGGUACGACUUGUGCAAGACCCUUGCAUGGCUCGAGUCAGCUGAUCUUUUUGCUGCAGCUCUGCAGCUACCGGAGAGCUGGCUUGCACUCCCUUCAGCUAGUGACUGCUCCUCACUAUGGUCUUAAAUAUUGCAAGGUAGGGUGGAGAAAAAGGAGGAAAGGAUAAUCUGCUAAAAAACACUGUGACCUCCUGGUAUUGAGGGAGGCAAGGAGCGGUUUUCUCAGAGGGUCAGAGAGGUACCAAGGUGUAGCAAAGACCUGUGAGAUACAGCCUCCUCUGUUCCUCCCUUUGGCCAAGGCUGGAACCCUCUUUCCGAAAGCACUUGGGCACACAGGAGGAGUGGCGCUGACAAUUGUUUCUUUAACCAGUCCUACAGUUUCCAUCUGGAAAAGAAGCUCUUUUCUAACUCAACAGUAUAAACUAAUGCUUUGCUCGGAGCUAAUCCUUCUUCUAAAUUAGGAACUGAACUCAUCAGUAUUUACACAGAAGUAGCUGGUAGCUGGAUGACAACCUCAAGGAGCAUUAGCUGAAAGGUGCUGAAGAGUAAUAGCAUUAUUCUAUCAUUACUACAAGAAGAAAAGGAAACUGUACAUCACAGGGAAGGCUGACCAGCUGCUAGCAUUACAUAAUAGAUGGGUUCAUUGUUGAUUCAAUAAAUGCUAAGAAUACAGAAAUUUAUCUAGAAAGCCAGAUACUCUUGUGUCCACAUUAAGGAUUUACCAAAAUGUAUGGUUCAAACACACUAUAUAUUUCUCAGUUAAUUCUCUUUGCAUGCUGGCUUACUUCAUAUCUUUUUUCCCCCAAUAGUAUUUUUUCAGAGAAAUAUAAAUUGGAGAGGAGAAACAAAAAGUGUGUUUAAGCAAACAAGCACUUCAUCUCACCAAAAUAAUUGAGAAAAAAAUAAAAAUCAUUUUCAGACUUUACAAGAGCCCAGCUCCACACAGCACCUACUGUAUCUGAGGGAGAUUUAAAACUUGAAUACAGACAGGAGGCACAUCACAGCCCACCUUCAGAAAGAGAACAGCUGCAGCUGAAGGGGAAACUGGAGGACUAAUGAUCGUUUAAGUACUCUAUUGCUGCUGUCAGGAUGUUUACAACACAGCACAGGGAAGAUGCACAAAAGGACUCCUUAGACAAAUGCUGAGUAUAUUGACGAAGGAUGAAAACAUCUUAUAUAAAAAAGUCAACAUUUGUUAAAUAAAAUACAACACAGUAAAAACACAGUGCUGAGACUACCGCUCAAUUCAAAGUGAAUCCAGGCAAUUUCACAGGUAACUGGAAAAAGUAGUGGGAGAGAGAGAAAACUUGUGCUUCUGACAGACACCUGGUGAUUACAAAUUAGAAGUGGAUAUUUACUGAGAUAACAUUACCUACUAUUGUAAUUUCUUGCAUCUUUGUUUGCAGAAUGUAGUUCUGGUGACUGGAGGUGUAAAAUACUGAACGCUUGUAUCCUCACUUGGAAAACAGAGAUGAGGAAAAGGAGUCCCAUCUGUUGUGCAGGACCUCAGCUGGACACAAGGAGGCACUGUCAGAAGAAAAGCAGCAUGGUUUCUGUUGGGCUGGGGGGAGACCCAAACCACCAGUUCCAGUUCCUCUGCCUGCCUUUCCUCCCUGUGAUUUCUCUUGCUCUCCACAGCACCGGCAAGGCUGCUUCAGGAAGUCAACCCCCCCACUCCACUCUUCUGUGUCUUGCAGGCAGUUGUGGCUUCAGCUGCUGCAGAACGUGAUGACUCUGCAGGUUUCUCCUUCCUGUCCUCAGAGUCUAUCAACCUCUCCAUCAAGAGGGGCCACUCAAGUCGGUGCAGAUGCAGUAGCUACCAGCCAGCCGUGGCUACUGGCUGGCAUCAGUCAAGAGGAAAGGAGAAGUACACAGGAAGGCCUGCCCAGCUGUGCAAUAGCCACAACAAGCCCUUCCUGGAAAAAAAAAAAAAAAAAAAAAA